This 481-nucleotide ribosomal RNA is filed under the name uncultured bacterium. Its description in RNAcentral is "partial 16S ribosomal RNA". It matches the Rfam family "Bacterial small subunit ribosomal RNA", at positions 28 to 507 of the family's 1533-position model. The record is from RNAcentral.
GAUGAACGCUGGCGGCGUGCUUAACACAUGCAAGUCGAACGAAGCAUUUAAGACAGAUUACUUCGGUUUGAAGUCUUUUAUGACUGAGUGGCGGACGGGUGAGUAACGCGUGGGUAACCUGCCUCAUACAGGGGGAUAGCAGCUGGAAACGGCUGGUAAUACCGCAUAAGCGCACAGUACCACAUGGUACAGUGUGAAAAACUCCGGUGGUAUGAGAUGGACCCGCGUCUGAUUAGCUUGUUGGCGGGGUAACGGCCCACCAAGGCGACGAUCAGUAGCCGACCUGAGAGGGUGACCGGCCACAUUGGGACUGAGCCACGGCCCAGACUCCUACGGGAGGCAGCAGUGGGGAAUAUUGCACAAUGGAGGAAACUCUGAUGCAGCGACGCCGCGUGAGUGAAGAAGUAGUUCGCUAUGUAAAGCUCUAUCAGCAGGGAAGAUAGUGACGGUACCUGACUAAGAAGCUCCGGCUAAAUACGUG